CCUGCCUGGUAUUUGACAUUUUUUUUUAUCACGAAUUUAUUUUAUUCAGUAAACACAAAAUUUACUUUUGAGUUAAUUCCCUUUGAACGAUAUUAAAAUAUAAUAGCCUUCCGGUUUUUCGUUGCAUGACGUCAUGGCAACUUUACAGGUGAUUUUAUGCAGGUAAAAAGAAUAUAAAGUAAACAUUACAAGAUGAAAAACUUAUUUAUCCUAUCCAUAACAAAAUGCGAUUGACCAAAGACUUAGAAAAUUAACAUUACGUGCAAUAUACUUGGGAAACACCACCAGGUGAGAGAAAACAAAACCCUGUGACGUCACCCGGUUUAGAACUUCGACAGGUUUUCUCUAUGUGAAUGGGUGUGCCGAAUGUGUAACUCUUGUUCAAUGAAAAUGUGAAAAAGAAUUAAGGUUAAUUACUCCAACUCUUAAUUAAACGUGAAAUAUAGAUUAAUCGGUAAGUUGAAAUUAACAUAAAACACGUGUCUAAUCAACAGGUAAAGGAUGCUGUUUUAAUUUAUUGUCAUAUUUGACAGGUGAGUCGGCCAUGACAUGCAUACAUGUAUUGAUCAGUUCUGAAAUAGUGUGUGGAAAAAAAUGUUUACAAACAAACAUAAUAAGAUAAACUAUUGAUUUUUUUUUUAUACAUAAUUAUGUGUCCAUUCAACCAAUAAAAUAUGGAAAAAGACUGCUAUUGUUUGGCACAAAAUCCUCUCAAUGAACAGUGUUUUAAAAAAAAUUGCUGUUCUUCAUCUAAAAGUCACAGUGAAGAAUCCAUUAUAGAGAUAAGUUGACACCUCCAAGCAAGUUCAAGAGAUGAAGAGAAUUCCCCAGAAAAGGAUCUAACAGUUUAUUUGAAGAUUUAUGGGCAUCAAUAUAUAAUCAUCCAUCACAUAUUGAAUUUAUUGCAUAUGCAUUUGUGGAACCACUAGGUGAAUAUUUUUUCCCCCAGUAUAUAAUUUUUCAACAGCUAACUUACACUAGUACUUUGUAAUAGGACAAUCUAGAACUCAGUCAAGUAACAGCAAGUAAAAGAGCUAUAGUAAAGUUUUCUUAUAGCACAAUUGGGGGAAAAAUAUAACUGUUAUUUUUUUUACUGACUAUCUGAACAACCUACCACAGAGUAGGUUAACUGUCAAAAGGUAACUAAUUUAUGAAAUCCGGAGUUAAAAGGUGUUAGUAUACAAUGGAGCAUAAAAUUGAGAAUGGAAAUGGGGAUUGUCAAAGAUUGCCAUUAUAUAUGGAAUAUUGAAAUUGGUGGAAGAAAUUAGUUCCCAUUUGAGUUGCAAAAUUUUUAAUCUCUUAUUCUGUCUAGUCUCUACACCAAUUUUAAGACAUUUUAUACCUGGAAAUUUCAGACCGCAUUUCACACGUCCCACUCUAAUAACUUCCAUAAAUUGUUAAAUAUAAUACUUCCAUGGUUAAACUGAAAUUUGUUUUCAUUUUUGGAAACAUCAAGGGUUAAUAGACUUUGCAUUCCAGAUAAUUUAAUGUCAAAGGGCUGGCAACAAACCUUUCUGCAGUUCACUGACAUGAUAAUUUUGAUAUGUCAAAGUAAGUAAGUACAUGUAAGUAAAACUUUAUUUGGAUUUGGCAUAUUGACAAAGAGUACAAACAUAAGCUUUAAUGAGCUUUUCACCGAAUAUAAAGGGCUGACAACAAGCCUUUCUGCAGACUGCAGUUCACUGACAUGACUUACCCCGGUAAUCUGAUUUUUAGCCUUCAUCAGCUUUUCAUUUUAUCUUCACAUCAGUACAUGGCAUAUCCUGAGCUCCUGACACAUCUGUUUAUCUGCCUUUUGUAUGAAAAAAUUGAACAAACACUUUUUGUUGAUUAUUGAGCUGUGUUCAUUUGUUAUGGUCAUGUAAAGAUUUAUCAUGAGUAUCAACAAAACAAAUUGUACAAGGGAGAUAAUUUCAAAAAAAUCAUUAGGGUAUAAAUGAUAGCUUAUCAUAAAUUUUAAAUUUGCUGAACCCAUUUUCCUCAAAUUGAAGGUUAGUAUAUGAUUAAAGUGCCCCCACCAAAAAACAACAUGAUAUUAUUACAUAUUGAUGUGCUACGAUAAUAUGUAAAUAAAGAGAAGAAAAAAAAAGUUAACAACCAUAUUUUAAAACUGAAAACAGAAAGCAUUGUUCAUUUGGAUUUAAUUGCCAUUUGAAUUGAAAGAGUUCUCAAAAGAUUCACUUUAAAAAUAUCCCUCUUUUUAGCUCACCUGGCCCGAAGGGCCAAGUAAGCACUUCUCAUCACUUUGCGUCCGUUGUCGUCCAGCGUCGUCUGUUAACUUUUACAAAAAUCUUCUCCUGAAACUACUUGGUCAAAUUUAACUAAACUUGGCCACAAUCAUCAUUGAGGUAUCUAAGUUAAAAAAUGUGUCCGGUGACCCAGCCAACCAACCAAGAUGGCCACCAUGGUUAAAAAUAGAACAUAGGGGUAAAAUGUAGAUUUGGCUUAUAUCUCUGAAACCAAAGCAUUUAGAGCAAAUCUGACAUGGGGUAAAAUUGUUUAUCAGGUCAAGAAUCUAUCUGCCCUAAAUUUUCAGAUGAAUUGGACAACCCGUUUGGUUGCUGCCCCUGAAUUGGUAAUUUUAAGGAAAUUUUGCUGUUUUUGGUUAUUAUCUUGAAAAAUAUUAUUAUAGAUAUAGGAUAAACUGAAACAGCAAUAAUGUUCAGCAAAGUAAGAUUUACAAAUAAGUCACAUGACCGAAAUGGUCAGUUGACCCUUAGGAGUAUUGCCCUUUUAAGUCAUUUUUAACCAUUUUUAAAUCUUAGUAAUCUUUUACAAAAAUCUUCUCCUCAAACUACUAGGCCAAAUUAAUCCAAACUUGGCCACAAUCAUCUUUGGGGUAUUUAGUUUAAAAAAUGUGUCUGGUGACCCAGCCAUCCAAUCAAGAUGGCCGCCGCGGCUAAAAAUAGAACAUAGGGGUAAAAUGCAGUUUUUGGCUUAUACCUCAAAAUCAAAGCGUUUAGAGCAAAUCUGACGGAGUUAAAUUGUUUAUCAGGUCAAGAUCUAUCUGCCCUGAAAUUUUCAGAUGAAUCAGACAACCCGUUAUUAGGCUGCUGCCCCUGAAUUGGUAAUUUUAAGGAAAUUUUGCCCUUUUUUGUUAUCAUCUUGAAUAUUAUUAUAUAGAGAGAUAAACUGUAAACAGCAAAAAUGUAUAGCAAAUUAAGACCUAAAAAUAAGUCAGCAUGACCAAAAUGGUCAAUUGACCCCCUAUUAAAGGAGUUAUUGUCCUUUAUAGUCAAUUUUUAACAAUUUUCAUAAAAUUUGUAAAUUUUUAAUAACAUUUUCCACUGAAACUCCGGGCCAAGUUCAUUUAGAUAGAAUAAUUGUAAGCAGCAAGAAUGUUAGUACAAACACAUCACCAUCAAAAACACAAUUUUGUCAUGAGUCCAUCUGCGUCCUUUGUUUAAUAUUCACAUAGACCAAGCUGAGCGACACAGGCUCUUUAGAGCCUCUAGUUUAAGGGCUGUAACAAAUUACACAUAUAUACUUGUACAUGCACAUAUAUAUAUUUGAUAUACAGCCAAUUGGAAUAUAUGAAGCUACUUGGUGUAGUCCUUUUUGAUGAACCAAUGGCAUACCUGACUUCAUGUACAUGUGUAUGUUCUGUCCUUGUUAUGCCUGUCAAAUUGUCACAGAAUUAACACACAUUAUGCUUUACUGUUGUCCAUCAGUUUAUCAAAGCAGUCCAAGCACAUCUAGUGAUUUUCUUAAAGUUGGCUUUUGUAAGGACAAAUCCCAUAAAUAUUUCUUCAUAAAUCUCUACUGAAAUGCAAUGAAAUAAGUAACUAGAUAUUUGAGCUAACUUGGUUAAAGAAAUCAUAUUAUACAUGUACAUCAUCAUUUUCAUAGUUCUACUGUUGUCAAUUGUGUCUGAUGAUUCUAAUAAUUGAAAUAUAAAUAUGAAUAAAUUCUUUAAAACUUUUAAAAAUUAUUUUUGUUUUUAAGAUAAAAUAAGACAAUAAAUUUUGUAAGUAUGUGUGAUAAGGAUAUAUAUGAAGUAUGUCACAAUGUACAUGCAUAUCUGCUUUUCAUUGUUGAUAUUCAGAUAACCUUCAACCUCUACAUUUUAAGGUGGUGUAGAAAAAUUCUAAUCUUUUUUCAUUACUUCCUCAAUCUUAGGUAUACAACCAGUUCAAUGUACAUCAAUCAAUAUUGAUUUUUAUUUGAAAAAAAAAGAUUAUAUAUGAGUGUUUGAAAUAUAGUGUACAUGUAGUUUGGAUGAGUGUUAAGAAUUUUAGGCGGAAGGUAAAUCAAUUUAUUUCAGUUUAAGUGUGUAGAUCAAGGAUAUAUCACCAUUAUGCCCCACAUAUCCUUUUAUUCAUAUUCAGGUUUAUUGUAAUUUAAGACAUGUUUUUAUUUCUUGUGUACAUUUCAUAGGAUGAUAGUUUGUUCACCUUGGUAUGGGGAAUUGGGAUGAACUUUAACCUUUGCUUAGUCAUUUUAAAGCUGUUAAAGUCCUGUAGGAUUUUUUACGAUUAAUUUAAUUAUGAAGCCUUAAAAAAAUCAAGCCAAUCAUAUCAUUUGUAGAUAUUUGUAUACAAAUCAGGGGCAUACCCAAUGUGGCACAAGUCUCCUUAUAUCAGUGGCAUACCCAAUGUGGCACAAGUCUCCUUAUAUCAGUGGCAUACCCAAUGUGGCACAAGUCUCCUUAUAUCAGUGGCAUACCCAAUGUGGCACAAGUCUCCUUAUAUCAGUGGCAUACCUAAUGUGGCACAAGUCUCCUUAUUGUCAUGGAUUUGUUUUUUUGACUGCUGAGUGAGUGAGUGAGGAACAGUUGCCUAUGGCUUCUUUGUUGCCACCUUUUUUUAAAUCGUUUAUCUGCCACUGUAUAUUAGCUGACAAGAACCUUAUAAACAAAUAACUUGUCUUAGAAGUACAAGACAGUACCAUUUGUUUAAAUGGAUCAUCAUAUAUAGUAAAACUUGAAUUGUCAGGUUACCUAGUAUAAGUUUAUUCAUCAAGCUUCAGGAAGAAAUAGCACAACAGUUUUGUAUCGUUAGUUGGGAUUAGAUGAAAGAUAAAUAUUACAAUUAUGCAACUUGGUUUCACAUGAUGAAUAAUGCAAAUUCUUGAUUUUCCGGGUUUGGACCUCAUUCAGUUUGCCUAUAUUUUUCUUAUACAUAUGGGUAUAAUUUAGACAGAUACAUUGAUAUAGAUCUCCAAUAUUAUACCCCAGAUCCACAAAUAUUUCUAUCUUCUUCCUGAUGGCCAACUUUCUCAAUUUGAUUCUCACAAUAUUAAAUAUAUAUUUUUAGAUUGUUGUUAAUUUAAGGCCUUAAAAGUUAAAGAUGUACUAAAUGUUUGUACACCUGGUUUACAGAUACGUGAUAAGAAUGUUUUAAUCAGUCUAGUAUCAUCCUUCAGGGGAGACAAAUCAUCAUCGUAAUACAUGUAAUAUAUCACAGAACAUAAAAACAAUUUAAAAAAAUUAAAAUUUAUGUGAUGCAUCAUUUAUAUGUACAUGUUGUCCAAUUUAUUAUGAAUCAAAUAAUUUGAAAAAUUAUGAAACUACUUAUUAAAGAACGCAAAAGAUGUUAAUUGCAAAUGUUGUAUUUACAUAAUGACUAAUUGAUAACUUGAAUUUAAAAAAGUUGUAAGAGGGUCACCUACUACAUUCUGUAUUGUAAAAUGAUUAUCUGAUGUAAAAGUAGAAAAUAUUAUCUAAUGUAAAAGUUUACACAAGGGGUGUAUCAAUACAUCUAACAAAAUUUUUUGAUAGUCAAUGUUAUAAACAGCUUUUUUAGAAUCUAUGGCAAUUAAGAACAUGUGUUAUGUGUUAUGGGCUUUGCUCAUUUUUGAAGACUGUAUGGUGACCUAACUUUGUUAAUUUCUGUGUCAUAUGGUCACUUGUGCACAGUUGUCUCAUUGCAGUCAUACCACAUCUUUCUUACAUGUAUAUGACAGAUAUUGUAAAGACAUUUGUCUUUGGUUGAAGAAUUUUAAUGUUGACUUCAAAAUGUCUUUCUGUUUUUAUGUCAUUGGGUUGUUGUCUCGUUGACAAAUGCCACACAUUUUUAUUUUAUUCAUAAAUUAUAAAAAUAUGUGAAUAUAAAGUUUCAAAAUAUCAGCUGUACACUCAGAUCAUAUGAGAUUUGCUGCAUUGAAGAUGGGUUUUCAAAUUUAAUCUUUUUUUCAAAAUUGACCUCUGCUAAUUUCAUGAUGAUAGUAAUACACUAUAACUUACUCGAAUGAAUUUGUUUGCCACUUCAACAGUCAUGUAACAUGUAUUUUUUUAAGAUAGGCCUUUUACUAGAAAAAAAAUCAUACCUCACAAUUUCUGCACAUGUAUGUAUUUUUAGUAACAUUUCAUAAAUAUGGAAUUUAAUGUUUAUCAGUUAAAAAAAACUCUAUCAUUCAGAUUAUAGAGGUCUUUAGUUUUGAAAAAAAGUCCUAUUGACUUAGUCACAUUUUGAACGCCUACAGUAUACAUUGUACACUGUACUAACAAAUGGUCAUAAACUUGUAUGUAAGUUUUUCAAAUAUCAAUUACUUAUUGAUCACCUAUUUAUAACAAGUCUACCCUUGAUCACACCUGAGAACACAGGUAAAAUUAUUUACACCCUUUCUCAUGACUCAUUAGGCUUAAAACAACAAUAAUUGUAAUUGAUAGGAGUAAAUGUGUAUCAAUUUAAGGCUAAUAUUCCUAUGCAUGUAAGCUAUUUACAAAAUACUACAAUAGAACUUUGAUUUCGUUAACAAAAACUUGCAAGUGACCAUCAAAGUUGUUUCUUAAAAUGUCAGUGAAAUUUUAUUAGGGUUUCAGAGUCAAUUUCAAUUACAGAGACUUGGAAAUUUGUUUGAAAACAAAAUAAUGUUCUCCUGGAAGGGGACAAUAGUUGAUAAAAUGGAUUGUUAAAAUUAUUUAACCAUUGUUAAGACAUUAAAUCAGAAGACGUUUUCGGGAAAUAAAUGACAAUAUGAUAUGAUGAUAGCAACCCUGAUUUUUUUGUAAUAAAAAUAUUUGUACUUCAGUGUGUUAAAAUUAAGGUAAUCUGUUAUGUUAAAAAGAUUAUAGACAAGUGCCUAAGCAUUAUCUAAUAAGUGUACAACCAUGUGUAAAUAUUUGUACAAUCUAACCAGCUCAGUUCCUACACUAUAAAACUUCUAGAUGAUCUUAUUUCCACACCAAAUUUGUAAAUAAAAAAAAACAGUAUUAAGGGACCCUUACAGCCCAACCUACAAUAACCACUGACGCAGGCAGGACCAUGAACAUAGAGCAGAGUUAAAAAUAAUUUUGUGAGUUGCUAAUUUUGUCUUAUUAACAUUUUUUGCAGAAGAAAUAAAGUUGAAAAUGUAAAUUAAAAAUAAAUCUAGAAAAAAAGACAACAAAAGUCAAAAACAGGGGUUCCUAUUUCAAUGGCUUAAAUAUUAGAAAAAACAGAUACAAUAUCAGGAAAAGUAAGCCUAUGUGCGUAGUUUGGUUCAGACAUGACAGGAUCAGUAAAUUUUAUUUUACUCACAACUGAUAAAUAUAAAGUUUAAAUGCUUUUUUGAACUUAUUUGGACUUUUAUUUGUGUGCACAUUCUACUUAUAUAUGUAACCAUAUUGCAUACAAAUGUAUAUGUAUAUGAUACAGUUAACUUAGUCAGAAUGAGGAAACUACCGGUAUGUCUGUCUCUGUCAUGUGACUUUGGGAGUUUUUAUUAUGUCUCAUAUCACAUGCUACUUUUUGACCUAGCUUACUUAAAACCAAAAAAUUAGCCUUUAUACACACAAUACAAAGAAAAUAAACCCACCCAUGAAAAUAAAUACUGUCAAAUUAUGUCAUUCAGGUUUAAAAAGUGAUUCCUGUUGAGAUUGAUUAUUGAUAUAAGUGAAGAUUAUUUAAGGGGACAUUAAAUUAUAUAUUCACAUUAACACAUGGUUGAUAGACUGUGAAUUAUUUUGUAAGAGUAAUACAGGAAGUUAAAAAUAGACAUUUUUACAACAAAUAUGGUGGUAUUUAUUAUUGGGGACCCUUUGGUUCUAACUGUUGCUGUUUAACAAAAAAAUACAAAUUUAGCAUUAUUAACUUAGCAAUAGAUAAAAAACAAAUUGUAAUGCAGAUUUUUAAUUUUAGUUUCUUGUUUAUAUUUUGGAGUUUAGUAUGACGUUCAUUAUGUUGAACUAGUAAUUUUUUGAUUAGGGGCCAGCUCAAGCACACCUCCGGGUGCGGGAGUUUCUCGCAGCAUUGAAGACCCAUUGCAGGUAGCCAUCAGCUGUUGUCUGCGCUUUGGUUGGGUUGUUGUCUCUUUAACACAUUCCCCAUUUCCAUUCUCAAUUUUAUGAUGCUGAAUAUUAUGUUUUGUGAUGAAAUUAAACAUGUAAAGGAUUUUCUGGAGAAAACUGUCUUUUAGUCUGUACAUUUGUCAUUUGUACAUCUAAUAUAUUUUUUGCCUUUAUCAAUUUGUACAUCUAAUAUAUUUUUUGCCUUUAUCAAUUUGUACAUAUAAAUACAGGCAAUCAUCCUAUAAAUCAGAAUUAGGACUGAAGACAGUAUGUUGUCUUCUUGAUGUCUUUUGUUUUUUUAUGCCCCUGUCAUUAAGUGAUCUGGGCAUAAAUUGUUACUAAUUCUGUCAUUCUGACCUUCUGAAAUAAACCAGACGUCUGGACUUUUCUUUCUGCCUGCAGAUAGUGAUCUGAUUUUGUUUCAUUAGUACAUACAUGUAUAUUGACUACUUAUAGAUCAACUUUGCCUUUUGUUCUGGUCAACUGAUUUUAUAGACAAUUAUCAGUGGCGGAUCCAGAAAUUUUCAUAAGUGGGGGCCCACUGACUGACCUAAGAGGGGGCCCGCUCCAGUCACGCUUCAGUGAUUCCCUAUAUAAGCAACCAAAUUUUUUCCCAAAAAGGGGGGGCCCGGGCCCCCUGGGCCCCCCCUCUAAAUCCGCCUAUGAUUAUGAUCAUGCUUCCAUUGACUCGGUUGCUGGGAUAAAGCCUUUUUGUUUUGAGGCGUCUUAAACAAUAAUAGAUCAACCUAUCCAUUGAUUUAUAGAAUUUCAUGUAAUUUGGAUUUGAUUUUGUUCUUUAGUAUGUGGAAUUAAUACUUAUAAAAAAGUUUUUGGGUUUCAAUCCUAUAGAACCCUUUGCACAGAUUUGCCUUUAAAAAUUGUACAUGUCAGGACUUUUUUGUAUUUGCCUUCAGAUUUAGAGCAGAUUUCAUUUUGUAUAAUGAUUAUAUAUAUAUAUAAUUACAAUAGAGUUUGCAUUUCAUUUUUGAUUUAUUGAAUUUCAUAAUUACAGGCAGCAGGCAUGGGCAUAUGGGUUGUUGAGACACAUCUAGUGAUAAGUGGGUUAUAGAGACACAUAAAGCUAUAUGUGGGUUGAGAGUUGCGACACAUCUAGUUAUAAGUGGAUGGUCAAGUAAUGUUGAGUUAGAAAUAGCUUGUUGAGGCACAUCUACAUGUAUUUAUAUGGGAGUUGCUGUAACAUUGACAUACACCCAACAUUUCCUUUUAAUCGUUGUUAAAAACUUAUAUAAGAUUUUUCUGAUAGCUCAAUUAAAAAAUGUCUAUAUCAGGGGGAAAAUAGAUGACAUAAAAUCUUACACAUCAUUUGUCAACUAUCAAUCAUAAUUAUGUCAGAUAUAGAAAUGAUUUUGACAAAAAAGAGUGACAUGUGUUUAUAGGUAUUGAUUAUUUGAACCUUUGGUGUUUAAUUAUGUUAUCAAUAUCAAUAAGGUUUGUUCAUGUCUUAACUAUAUAUAGCUAUCAUAGGGGCAACUGGCCUUGAAUUACUUUAAGAUCAUGAUAGAGAAAUUGGCUGAUUAAUUGUUCUUUGCUUACAAUGUCAAGUGGCAAACAUCUCAUGUAUUUUCAUGAUGAGAAACAAUUUAACAAAACAUAAAAAAAGUUAUUCCUGAAAAGAUGUUUGAUCGAGGUGAAGAUAAGGCCAACUAAAAUUAAUUGGUAGAUUUUCAUCCAAAUUUUUGAAAGUAAUGGGGCGGGUGGGAGGAUUUUAUUUUUUAAAUUUUAUUUCAUAUGAAACCCUUUUGUGACGAGUUCUUCAUAUAUAUAUGCAAGUGUAAUAAUAAGCUUAUAUCAUGUAUGCACAAGUAUGAGGAAUCUUACAUAAUAUUUCAAAUCCGGCUUAAAUAAAUGUAUCUAAUUGCGGCUUUAAAAACUUAACAACAAAAACGUGUGAGAAAUGCUCUCUUCAGUUAGACUACAUGUACCUACACAAAAUGUAUUUUGGUUUCUAAACAAUGGUUUGUAUUACCAUAAAAUGAAGCAAAUGCAUUGGUAUGCAACAGAAUUAUUAUGAGUACAGAAUAAAAUGAAAACACAGAUCGAGAGUGUUGAAAAUAAUAGCUAGGGUUGGUACUUUAUAUGCAAGAUGAAAAUAUAAUUAUCAUGUAAAACAUGAACUUAAUAAUAAAAAAAAGUUGUUGUUUAAUGAGUCUUUUUGGGUGUAUUGGGACAUUUGCUGUUUGUCAACAUAAAAAGACAGCCAUGGGUAAAAUCAAAGGGCUUGCAUAUAUAUAUAAAUAAAAUGCGUAUGUUAGUCGACUUUUUAAAUUCAAUAAACGGUCAUACAUCUAACAAGUUCGUGCUUGUGUUUCAAUAUUUAUAAUUCAGUCAUGUUUUCUGUAAAUUUACUGAAACAAAGUCAUUGCAUAAAUAAAAAAGUCCGCAGUUUUCUAAUCACAGAAAUUUGUGACAUACCGCGAUUUGCAGUCUUGGAAACAGCGUUUUUCUCAUAACACCAAUAUUUCAUGUCGUUCUCGUUAUCAAUCUUUACUCUCGGAAGAUGAUGUUAUCAUCAUAGAGCAGCGGAAAGGUCGACUUAAUCAUUUUGGUUAGAUUUACUCGAGGUACAAAACCGAAAUUUGAAACAGGAAGCAUUGAAUGAAACGAAAUUUUAACGGUUACCGGUAACGGGAAUGAACAAAAUCCGGAAAUCGUAAAUUUUAUAAAAUAAAAAAAUUCGGGGCGGGUCGAUUUCAGAGGGGCGGGCGGGGAUGAAAAUCUAUCAAUUAAUUUUAAUUGGCCUAAUGGCCAGCAGUUGUUUCCUUUAUGCUUUUGUAUACUUUUGGGAGGUUUUAUACUUGAUAAGUUUUUGAAGCCCCAGAAUCUCAUUAUAACAAUGCCUCACUAUAUCCUUGAUUGAUGUUAACUUUCUACUUUUGAAAUUAAUUUGAUGGUUAAACACCUCUUAAUAAAGAUAGAAUACAAAUUGGACAGAUAAAGUCCUCAACUGUAAUGAAAAACAUUGCAGACAAUACAAAUGGUGAAUUUCACAGAUCGUUAUUUGUUGAUAAUUGCAGGAGACCACAUUAUUUUAUUAUGUUAGUAAGUUUUAUGAGCCCUCCUUGAAUUGUACUGAGGUCUGAAGAACAGGUAGAAAUCCGAUAACAAGAUGAAAUUGACAAGCCUGUAUUGUAUAUUUUAUUGUUAUUAGGUGAUUCUAUAAUGAGAAGUAGACCUUUUAGUGUGCAAUUCUCAAGUUACUUAGAAAGAAAGAAUAUCUUGAGGCCGGUAAUUAUACAAAUUGCUUUAUAUAACAAAUUUAUGAUGUUCAACACAUAUCCGUUACAUCCUGGUUUUUUUCCCGUCCAUCUUAUCUCUUUUAAAUUGUUGUUUACAUUGUAUGCAUGGUUGAUACAUUAUUUUGAAUUUCAUUGUCUAAAAAAACAAUUUUGCAUUUUUUUGUUAAAAUGUCUGCAGGCCAGCAUUCCGAUUUAAAUAAUGUAUUUUGUUUAGAGAAUAUUCAAUGAUAGGUUAUCCGAUUUAUAUAAUGUACUUAUAAUAAUGUUAGAAAAAGAUACAAUGACAGUAUAUUUAAGAUUAUUUAAGAGACUGCAUCACAUUAUGCUCACUAAAAUUUACAGGAGCAUUUCAAAUGAUGAUCUUAUUAUAGUAAAGGCCACUGUACAUGAAUGAUAAUAAAACAAUGUUGAGGAUCAUGAGACUUCCAUAUACUUUUUAUUUAAUUCAAGACAUUCCUGGAUAGUCAGUUUUCUUGAUCCAUAUUAAUAACUUUGUUAAAAAUGAUAGUCUUUUACUUUUAGGUAACAAGAUCAAUUGCUGAUGCACUGCUACCAUGCCUCAUUAGAAAAAAUUUACGCAUCUCACCCAAAGAAUUGACUCUUGAGAUGUUUUUUUUUUCAGUCACUACAUAUGUUUAUUCACAGGAUGAACUCAAUAACCUUACUAGCAAUCACCCUUUGACUUUCUGUUUGAUAUUUUUUAUCAUUUAAGGGCCGGUAAGCUAAGGACAAUAAAAAUAUUUUCACAUUUGGUAAACAAAGGACCAAGUGUAAAAACACAAAUCCAGCAGUAAUUACAGGAGAAAAAUUAUACAGCAAGAUAAAUAUUUAAUAACAUCAUUGAUUUACUAUUGAUUUUUCUCUUACAGGUAGCCAGCUACAGGUAGAACCAUGGUCAUCUUAUCUAAGG
This 12376-nucleotide long non-coding RNA is filed under the name Mytilus galloprovincialis (Mediterranean mussel). The record is from RNAcentral. Lineage: Eukaryota; Metazoa; Mollusca; Bivalvia; Mytilida; Mytilidae.